CCCUACGGGUUGUAAACUGCUUUUGUCGGGGAAUAAACCCUUCUACGUGUAGGAGGUUGAAUGUACUCGAAGAAUAAGGAUCGGCUAACUCCGUGCCAGCAGCCGCGGUAAUACGGAGGAUCCAAGCGUUAUCCGGAUUUAUUGGGUUUAAAGGGUGCGUAGGCGGCCUAUUAAGUCAGGGGUGAAAGACGGUGGCUCAACCAUCGCAGUGCCUUUGAUACUGAUAGGCUUGAAUGAACUUGAGGUAGGCGGAAUGUGACAAGUAGCGGUGAAAUGCAUAGAUAUGUCACAGAACACCAAUUGCGAAGGCAGCUUACUAAGGUUUAAUUGACGCUGAGGCACGAAAGCGUGGGGAUCAAACAGGAUUAGAUACCCUGGUAGUCCACGCCCUAAACGAUGAACACUCGAUGUUAGCGAUAUACCGUUAGCGUCUAAGCGAAAGCGUUAAGUGUCCACUGGA
Molecule: ribosomal RNA, 460 nt
Filed under: uncultured Bacteroidota bacterium
Lineage: Bacteria; Pseudomonadati; Bacteroidota
Description: bacterial SSU rRNA
Rfam family: Bacterial small subunit ribosomal RNA
Source: RNAcentral